UGUUGUGUAGUGUAGUGGUUUGAGUGUUGGACUAUGAUUAUGGAGACCAAGGUUCGAUUCCCAGCUCAGCCA
Non-coding RNA from Phrynosoma platyrhinos (Desert horned lizard), 72 nucleotides. The record is from the annotation of a GenBank genome assembly. NCBI's taxonomy places the organism in Eukaryota, Metazoa, Chordata, Lepidosauria, Squamata, Phrynosomatidae.